RNAcentral lists this ribosomal RNA (497 nucleotides) under uncultured bacterium. Its description in RNAcentral is "partial 16S ribosomal RNA". It matches the Rfam family "Bacterial small subunit ribosomal RNA", at positions 28 to 507 of the family's 1533-position model. The record is from RNAcentral.
GAUGAACGCUGGCGGCGUGCCUAAUACAUGCAAGUCGAGCGAACAGACGAGGAGCUUGCUCCUCUGACGUUAGCGGCGGACGGGUGAGUAACACGUGGAUAACCUACCUAUAAGACUGGGAUAACUUCGGGAAACCGGAGCUAAUACCGGAUAAUAUAUUGAACCGCAUGGUUCAAUAGUGAAAGACGGUUUUGCUGUCACUUAUAGAUGGAUCCGCGCCGCAUUAGCUAGUUGGUAAGGUAACGGCUUACCAAGGCAACGAUGCGUAGCCGACCUGAGAGGAUGAGCAGACACACUGGGACUCAGACACGCCCCAGACUCCUACGGGGGGGGGCAGUGGAGAAGUUUGGACAGAGGGCGAAAGCCUAAUACAGCAAUGCCAAGGGUGUGAAAAAGGUCUUCGGGUUGGAAAGCACUUUUUGACGGAAAGAAAUCCUUGGACCUAGUCCGGCCGGGUGAUGACGGUACCGGAAGAAUAAGCGCCGGCUAACUACGUG